AUACGUAGGGGGCGAGCGUUGUCCGGAUUUACUGGGCGUAAAGGGUGAGUAGGCGGUUAUGUAUGUCAGGUGUAAAAGGCGUAGGCUUAACUUACGUUAGCACUUGAAACUGCAUAACUUGAGUGCAGGAGAGGUAAGUGGAAUUCCUAGUGUAGCGGUGAAAUGCGUAGAUAUUAGGAGGAACACCAGUGGCGAAGGCGACUUAAUGGACUGUAACUGACGCUGAGUCACGAAAGCGUGGGUAGCAAACAGGAUUAGAUACCCUGGUAGUCCACGCUGUAAACGAUGAGUGCUAGGUGUUGGGUAGCGAUAUUCAGUGCCGAAGUAAACACAAUAAGCACUCCGCCUGGGGAGUACGGUCGCAAGACUGAAACUCAAAUGAAUUGGCGGG
This 391-nucleotide ribosomal RNA is filed under the name uncultured bacterium. RNAcentral describes it as "partial 16S ribosomal RNA". It matches the Rfam family "Bacterial small subunit ribosomal RNA", at positions 523 to 917 of the family's 1533-position model. The record is from RNAcentral.